RNAcentral lists this unclassified non-coding RNA (243 nucleotides) under rhizosphere metagenome. RNAcentral describes it as "partial ribosomal RNA internal transcribed spacer region". The record is from RNAcentral.
GUAGGUGAACCUGCGGAAGGAUCAUUACCGAGUUAGGGUCCUCUGGGCUCGACCUCCAACCCUUUGUCUACCUUACUUUACGUUGCUUCGGCGGGUCCGUCCUGAAAAGGACCGCCGGAGGGUGGAUUUACCCUCUGGCCCGCGCCUGCCGGUGGCCAACAAUCAAACUCUUGUUAAAAACGUGUCGUCUGAAGUAUUAAACAAAAUAACUAAAAACUUUCAACAACGGAUCUCUUGGUUCUG